AGAGCGAACGCUGGCGGCAGGCCUAACACAUGCAAGUCGAGCGGCCGUAGCAAUACGGCAGCGGCAGACGGGAUAGUAACACGUGGGAACGCGCCCUUCGGUUCGGAAUAACUCAGGGAAACUUGAGCUAAUACCGGAUACGCCCUUACGGGGAAAGAUUUAUUGCCGAAGGAACGGCCCGCGUCCGAUUAGCUAGUUGGUGAGGUAAUGGCUCACCAAGGCUACGAUCGGUAGCUGGUCUGAGAGGAUGACCAGCAUCACUGGGACUGAGACACGGCCCAGACUCCUACGGGAGGCAGCAGUGGGGAAUAUUGGACAAUGGGCGCAAGCCUGAUCCAGCCAUGCCGCGUGGAUGAUGACGGCCUUAGGGUUGUAAAGUCCUUUUAACGGGGAGAUAAUGACGGUACCCGUAGAAUAAGCCCCGGCUAACUUCGUGCCAGCAGCCGC
This 447-nucleotide ribosomal RNA is filed under the name uncultured bacterium. RNAcentral describes it as "SSU rRNA". It matches the Rfam family "Bacterial small subunit ribosomal RNA", at positions 26 to 518 of the family's 1533-position model. The record is from RNAcentral.